This 484-nucleotide ribosomal RNA is filed under the name uncultured bacterium. RNAcentral's name for it is "partial 16S ribosomal RNA". It matches the Rfam family "Bacterial small subunit ribosomal RNA", at positions 30 to 507 of the family's 1533-position model. The record is from RNAcentral.
AUUGAACGCUGGCGGCAGGCCUAACACAUGCAAGUCGAGCGGAUGAAGGGAGCUUGCUCCUGGCUGCCGCGGCGGACGGGUGGGUAAUGCCUAGGAAUCUGCCUUGCCUUGGGGGAUAACGUCCGGAAACGGGCGCUAAUCUCGCAUCCGUCCUGAUGUAGAAAGUGGGGGAUCUUCGGACCUAACGGUUUUUGAUGAGCCUAGGUCGGAUUAGCUAGUUGGUUGGGUAAAGGCCUACCAAGGCGACGAUCCGUAACUGGUCUGAGAGGAUGAUCAGUCACACUGGAACUGAGACACGGUCCAGACUCCUACGGGAGGCAGCAGUGGGGAAUAUUGGGCAAUGGGCGAAAGCCUGAUCCAGCAAUGCCGCGUGAGUGAAGAAGGUCUUCGGAUUGUAAAGCACUGUAAGUUGGGAGGAAGGAAAGUAAGUUAAUACCUGGCUGUUUUGACGGUACCAACAGAAUAAGCACCGGCUAACUUCGUG